This is a long non-coding RNA of Anthonomus grandis grandis, 1384 nucleotides long. RefSeq lists it as uncharacterized. The record is from RefSeq and is a predicted model, not a curated record. NCBI's taxonomy places the organism in Eukaryota, Metazoa, Arthropoda, Insecta, Coleoptera, Curculionidae. The transcript is spliced from 2 exons.
UCUCACGAAUCUUCAAUAUUAAAGGCCGAUUCCCAUCUAACCAGCAUCGAGCAGCGCGGCACAGAGCAGAGCAGCGCAGCACGAAGCAGUGUUUUCUGGCAUCAAUUCCCACCUAAGCAGCACAGAAUUUUCAGUUUAUGGUUUUUUUAUUCAGGUCGUCAAGAUAUCUUUAUCAGACGAUUUUAUAUUUCUUGCAGUUGCUUUAUGCGAUGAAUUUAUGAGGGCGAAUUCCAUACACUUUUCGGGCGUCUCCAGCAAGAUAAAUAGAAGUUCUAUAAGUACUAUCGAAUGUCCUCAGAAAAAGUUUAUAUACUAUUCAAUCUUUUGUGCAUUUCUUUGACGAAACAAAAUACUAAAUUUCGGCAGAGCAUCAGUCCACAAGAGAGGCUAACUAUUUUUCUAAGGUUUUUGGCAACAGGGGCAGACUACCAGACACCUUCUUUUAACUUUAGAAUAGAACACUCCACAAUACAUAAGAUUAUACGUCAUACCGCCAAUGUUAUUUGGGAGACUCUAGGAAAUAUUCUAAUGCCACAACCCACAACAGAGUUACUUCGGUAUUGUGCACACAAAUUUGAAAGUACUUGGAAUUUUCCUAAUUGUGUGGCUGCGAUAGAUGGCAAGCAUGUUACUAUACAAGCACCUCCCAGAAGUGGAUCCUUGUAUUUUAACUAUAAGAAAUCAUUCUCAGUAGUGUUAUUGGUGAUGGUAGACGCAGAAUACAGGUUCAUUGCCAUGGAUGUUGAAGCAUACGGUAAAAAUAGCGAUGGUGGGAUAUUUACUGAUUCGAAUAUGGGAAAAAGUCUUAAAAAUUGAACAUUUGGAAUGCCUAAAGAUCGACCAGUUAUUGUAAAGUGGGAACCUUUACCACAUGUAAUAGUGGGAGACGAAGCGUUCCCUUGUAAAACUUAUUUAAUGAGACCUUACUCAGGACGCGGAUUGUCACAAGAUAAAAGAAUUUUCAAUUAUCGCUUCUCCAUAGCUCGUAGAGUCUCUGAAAAUGUCUUUGGGAUUCUUUGUCAAAAGUUUAGAAUAUUCUUAAAUAUAAUACAGAUUCACCCAAAAAAUGCAGAAAAAAUAAUUUUAUCUAGUCUUUGUUUGCAUAACUUCCUUAGAAAUGAGAUUGUCUUCUUGACCGUACUAGAGCAAGAGAGAAUAGAAAAUGAAGCACCAGUUUUUACAAGUAUAUCUAACAUUGGUGGAAAAUGCGCCAAUGAAGCAAUCAAAAUUAGAAAUGCAUUUAAGGGAUAUUUUAACUCUGAUUCAGGGGCAGUUUCUUGGAAAGAAGAUGCAAUUAAUAUAGGAAAUGCUUAAAAAUGUUAAAUAACUAACUUUAAAGUUAUUUUAUAAUUGUAUGGUAAUAAAUAAAGUAAAUUACCCGUUA